AACGGCAAAGGAGCAUGUCUAAAAUGAUUUUCAUUGGUCAACGAGUCUACGUCGACAGUAUGCAAGCCAGGCUCUGUCUCAACAGAAAAAUAAAUAGAUUACCGCAGAGCAACUUCAGCCUGUAACCAGCUAGCUUUCUAGAUGUAGAAGUAGCUUCGUAAUGGUGAAAUGCGCCAUGCAAACCUUUCAACCACCAUUCCAGUAUGUUCCCAGUCACCUGGAAUUACAAAUAGAAUCUACAUUAUCAUGAAGAAAAUUAUACGUAUGCAUCGGAGGCAGAAAAUUUAUUCAAGCUCUGAAGUCCCAAACAACUGAAAAUGCUCCAAAACACCAUCACGUGACCCUGUAGCAGACACUACAUCUGCCUAUGAGCAAUGGACAGAACUGAGAAUACCAUAUCAUGAACCGUAGUGAACAUUGCUGGCAACAUCCUGUUUUAGGAUCGAUUUCUCUACAUACAAGCCCCACCAGUGCAGUUGGCACACAACAGCAUCCCUCCUGAUCAAGUGAAAAGGAAUCCUAUGACACCGCUUGAUCUUUGUCUGACAUGGAAAUUUGCAAAUCAAAUAAGGUGGAAGAAUAACAUCUGGUUAAAAAAUUUAUGUGGAAAAAUAUCUGCUUUAAAGUGAUGUCAUGAACUGGAUGCUGCACUCUUGAUUCCAACACUAAUAUUGUCAUGACCAAAUGUUAAAGUUCAUAUUCAGCAAGUUGAAGAUAACUGACACCAUCUUAAAGUAUAAGUUUCACAAAUAUGGUAUUCAGAAGUUUUUUGUUUUCACUACUGAUGUAUAUAUAGUAUAAAAAAAUUGAUUUCUGUAAUAGAAUAAAGUAUUGGAAUACA
Molecule: long non-coding RNA, 841 nt
Filed under: Haliotis rufescens (red abalone)
Lineage: Eukaryota; Metazoa; Mollusca; Gastropoda; Lepetellida; Haliotidae
Description: uncharacterized LOC124117802, transcript variant X16
Source: RNAcentral